AAAAAUAUGUAAAAUUGCAACUGCUUUGUAAUUAAAUGCAGUUGAAGGUCAUUAUAUAUUUAGGGUAUUUUAGAGGUCAACUGGUAAUUCUACAGACACAAAUGUAAUUUAUUUUGACAUUUAUUUUUGUUCUCACCUAAACAACAUACAACUUUGCAUUUUGACAACUUAAAUAUAGUAAACUGUAGUAAAACUGCUAGAUCCUAUUACGUUUUUGAAACUUUGCCUAACAUAUUAAAUAUUAAAAUAAAGUAUUUACGUGUGCAACGGUUAUCGAUUCACUAAUACAACAUACAGUAUUUUAACAAUUUGUAAUAAUUUCUGUAAUAUAUUACAGUACGGCAGUAUUUGUAAUUUAAACAACAAUAUUGUAAAUAAUCUGCAAUCAAAUUUAUAACUCUCCUUUUGGGCAUAUAUAUUUUAGUUGUGUAAGACUCCCAUCAUCCAAUCAGAGGCUGCAAAUUUAAAUUUGGCGCACUUGCGUCCUAACGGCUGUGAGUGGCGGUACUAGUGCGAGCAGCAGAGCCAGAGCGGGAGUUUUCAAACUCCAGUGGAUUCCUAUGGUAGCCAGGCAGGCACCGCGGGAAACAUCUCUGAGAACAGCCGUGAGCAGUAGCGUGCGAGUGAGUGACAGUGAAGAAAUUUCUUCCGCUCCGAUGGAAAUAUAUGACAUGUAGGCUACAUAUAAAGCGCCAAUACUUUUGAAACUGUGAGGAAAACAACGCGCCUUUAGCGCCUGCUUCACUAUAGUCGUCGUCACCAUGUCAGUCAGAGCAACCGACCGCCGGAUGAGGUUCUAGGGAUCUAAUGCUUGUGAUAAUCUACAGCAGAUGACCAUGACAAUCCAGGUUCUGUGGAUCGACUGCUUGUGCUAAUCUACCGCAGGUGACCAUAACAAUCCAGCAGAUAACUUCAGGAUUUAUAGAAGGCAUAUAAUGACAGUGAGCGGGACCAAAACUCUUGACAAUCUAAGUCACCUAUAGGUAGCAUAAGUAAUCUAUAUGACUCAAGUUGCUCAAAUAAUGUCUAGAUGUGUAACAAAUACCUUGCAUGUACAGAGCUAUGUUCUGAAUCUGAUAUACUCCGCUUGUAUUCCCACUGUCAGAUGAACAUUUUAAAAAAUAAAUAUUUUUGCAUUUCCCCAGAAUGUCUUUUUCUGUUUCAUUGAAGGUACAAAAUAAAGUACUGUUUUUUAAUAUUGCGUAUUUAUUUUACAUGUAAAGAAUUUAACAGGAAAUUAUUGUAGGCCUGUGACCUGAUAGAUUCAAAUAACUGCUAAUUACUUUUAAUUAACAGUAUUGUAGGUUUUAAAUGUAGCUACUUUUGGUGUAUUUUAAUAAUAUAUAUCUUUAUUAUAACUGGUAAAUGUACAGACAUUUGGUUUUUAUUAGUAGUUUCUUAGUUAUUAUACAUUUAAAAUGUUUUUUAAAAGUAAAUUCCUUUGUAGAUUGACAGAGAAGCUUAAUAAAAUUACUUAAAAAUUCCUAAAUUUACAGAGAUUACCCUGAAAAGAAGUUGCUUUUUAAUGUAUUUUGAUAUAAUUUAUCUGUUUUUACACAGUUUAAUGAGCAAUUAUCAACAGUGCUAUACUGUAAUUUAACCAAUUUUGACCGUAAAAUUGGCUCUGUAUUUUUACAGUUCAUUUCAUGUAAUUUUGUGAAACAGU
Molecule: long non-coding RNA, 1666 nt
Organism: Triplophysa rosa
Lineage: Eukaryota; Metazoa; Chordata; Actinopteri; Cypriniformes; Nemacheilidae
Exons: 4
Source: RefSeq, a predicted model, not a curated record